This 373-nucleotide ribosomal RNA is filed under the name uncultured bacterium. RNAcentral's name for it is "bacterial SSU rRNA". It matches the Rfam family "Bacterial small subunit ribosomal RNA", at positions 525 to 896 of the family's 1533-position model. The record is from RNAcentral.
ACGAGCUCUCCAAACGUUAUUCGGUAUCACUGGGCUUAAAGAGUUCGUAGGCGGUCUGGUAGGUGAGGUGUGAAAUCCCCCGGCUCAACCGGGGAACUGCGCUUCAAACCGCCGGACUUGAGGGAGACAGAGGUGGGCGGAACAGAUGGUGGAGCGGUGAAAUGCGUUGAUAUCAUCUGGAACACCGGUGGCGAAAGCGGCCCACUGGGUCUUUUCUGACGCUGAGGAACGAAAGCUAGGGUAGCGAACGGGAUUAGAUACCCCGGUAGUCCUAGCCGUAAACGAUGAGCACUAGCCCGUGGGGACCCUCACAUCCUCUCGGGCGUAGCGAAAGUGUUAAGUGCUCCGCCUGGGGAGUAUGGUCGCAAGGCUG